RNAcentral lists this ribosomal RNA (467 nucleotides) under uncultured bacterium. Its description in RNAcentral is "partial 16S ribosomal RNA". It matches the Rfam family "Bacterial small subunit ribosomal RNA", at positions 28 to 506 of the family's 1533-position model. The record is from RNAcentral.
GACGAACGCUGGCGGCGUGCUUAACACAUGCAAGUCGAACGGAAAGGCCCUGCUUUUGUGGGGUGCUCGAGUGGCGAACGGGUGAGUAACACGUGAGUAACCUGCCCUUGACUUUGGGAUAACUUCAGGAAACUGGGGCUAAUACCGGAUAGGAGCUCCUGCUGCAUGGUGGGGGUUGGAAAGUUUCGGCGGUUGGGGAUGGACUCGCGGCUUAUCAGCUUGUUGGUGGGGUAGUGGCUUACCAAGGCUUUGACGGGUAGCCGGCCUGAGAGGGUGACCGGCCACAUGGGGACUGAGAUACGGCCCAGACUCCUACGGGAGGCAGCAGUGGGGAAUAUUGCACAAUGGGCGGAGGCCUGAUGCAGCAACGCCGCGUGCGGGAUGACGGCCUUCGGGUUGUAAACCGCUUUCGCCUGUGACGAAGCGUGAGUGACGGUAAUGGGUAAAGAAGCACCGGCUAACUACGU